AUAAAAUACUUUCUCAAAAAUGCUAUAGUUACGUUGAACGUUUAUUCAUUCACAUUAUUCAAAAUGUUUUGUUUUUAAAUUCAUUGUAAUCAGAUGUAAUCAUGAUUACUUUGCCAAUGUAAUCAGUAAUUUAAUCAGAUACUUUCAGAAAUGAUGUAAUCAGUAAUUUAAUUUAAUCGUACAAAUGACAAAGUAAUUGUAAUUUAAUCAAUUACAUUGAAAGUAAUCGGACCCAUCUCUG
RNAcentral lists this long non-coding RNA (241 nucleotides) under Mytilus galloprovincialis (Mediterranean mussel). The record is from RNAcentral. Lineage: Eukaryota; Metazoa; Mollusca; Bivalvia; Mytilida; Mytilidae.